RNAcentral lists this ribosomal RNA (503 nucleotides) under uncultured bacterium. RNAcentral describes it as "partial 16S ribosomal RNA". It matches the Rfam family "Bacterial small subunit ribosomal RNA", at positions 30 to 523 of the family's 1533-position model. The record is from RNAcentral.
AUUGAACGCUGGCGGCAGGCUUAACACAUGCAAGUCGAGCGGGGUGAUGGUGCUUGCACUAUCACUUAGCGGCGGACGGGUGAGUAAUGCUUAGGAAUCUGCCUAUUAGUGGGGGACAACAUCUCGAAAGGGAUGCUAAUACCGCAUACGUCCUACGGGAGAAAGCAGGGGAUCACUUGUGACCUUGCGCUAAUAGAUGAGCCUAAGUCAGAUUAGCUAGUUGGUAGGGUAAAGGCCUACCAAGGCGACGAUCUGUAGCGGGUCUGAGAGGAUGAUCCGCCACACUGGGACUGAGACACGGCCCAGACUCCUACGGGAGGCAGCAGUGGGGAAUAUUGGACAAUGGGGGGAACCCUGAUCCAGCCAUGCCGCGUGUGUGAAGAAGGCCUUAUGGUUGUAAAGCACUUCAAGCGAGGAGGAGGCUCUUUUGGUUAAUACCCAAGAUGAGUGGACGUUACUCGCAGAAUAAGCACCGGCUAACUCUGUGCCAGCCGCCGCGGUAA